This 72-nucleotide transfer RNA is filed under the name Ictidomys tridecemlineatus (thirteen-lined ground squirrel). RNAcentral describes it as "Spermophilus tridecemlineatus (thirteen-lined ground squirrel) tRNA". It matches the Rfam family "tRNA". From Rfam's summary of the family: Transfer RNA (tRNA) molecules are approximately 80 nucleotides in length. Their secondary structure includes four short double-helical elements and three loops (D, anti-codon, and T loops). The record is from Rfam by way of RNAcentral. Lineage: Eukaryota; Metazoa; Chordata; Mammalia; Rodentia; Sciuridae.
UGGGGUGUAGUUCAGUGAUAGAGCAUAUGCUUAGCAUACGUAAGGUCCUAGGCUCAAUCCCUAGCACCAAAA